GACGAACGCUGGCGGCGUGCUUAACACAUGCAAGUCGAACGGAAAGGCCCCUUUGGGGGUACUCGAGUGGCGAACGGGUGAGUAACACGUGAGUAACCUGCCCUUGACUUCGGGAUAACGUCAGGAAACUGGGGCUAAUACCGGAUAGGAAUCCUUGCUGCAUGGUGGGGGUUGGAAAGCUUCGGCGGUUUUGGCUGGACUCGCGGCUUAUCAGCUUGUUGGUGGGGUAGUGGCUUACCAAGGCGUUGACGGGUAGCCGGCCUGAGAGGGCGACCGGCCACAUUGGGACUGAGAUACGGCCCAGACUGCGACGGGAGGCAGCAGUGGGGAAUAUUGCACAAUGGGCGGAAGCCUGAUGCAGCAACGCCGCGUGCGGGAUGACGGCGUUCGGGUUGUAAACCGCUUUCAGCAGGGGCGAAGCUUGUGGUGACGGUACCUGCAGAAGAAGCACCGGCUAACUACGUG
This 465-nucleotide ribosomal RNA is filed under the name uncultured bacterium. RNAcentral's name for it is "partial 16S ribosomal RNA". It matches the Rfam family "Bacterial small subunit ribosomal RNA", at positions 28 to 507 of the family's 1533-position model. The record is from RNAcentral.